Long non-coding RNA from Carya illinoinensis, 422 nucleotides. RefSeq lists it as uncharacterized. The record is from RefSeq and is a predicted model, not a curated record. The transcript has 2 exons. Lineage: Eukaryota; Viridiplantae; Streptophyta; Magnoliopsida; Fagales; Juglandaceae.
UAAAGGAAGAGAGCCCUCAAUUUCUCAAGAAAUCCCUAAAACCUUCUCUGAUUUCCAACUCCAUCAAUCUUGCAUUAAAACACUUCCUUUAGCCAUGGACGCUCAGAGAGUUUUGCUAUAUGAACAUAUGGGUGCAAGAGUGCAGCAACUCGUAAUUUGACGGAGGAAGAGACAAAGGGAUUCAAGGAGAUUAAUUGGGAUGCAAGGAGGUUUGUGCUUGCUAAUUGAUGGAGGAAGAGAGAAAUGAUUCAAGGAGAUUAAUUGGGAUGCAAUGAGGUUUGUGCUUGCUAAUUGACGGAGGAAGAGAGAAAGGAUUCAAGGAGAUUUAUUUUGCCCAGGUUUUUACCAGAUAAUUAUGUUUGGUUUGAAAUUUUGUUUGUUUGCUAAGAAAACAACGGAAAAUAAAAUAUUUCUUCUUUCCA